This 668-nucleotide long non-coding RNA is filed under the name Triticum aestivum (bread wheat). Its description in RNAcentral is "long non-coding RNA (TAES_LNC006544)". Lineage: Eukaryota; Viridiplantae; Streptophyta; Magnoliopsida; Poales; Poaceae. The record is from RNAcentral.
GGUGGUGCUGCUGGGAAGAAGGAAGAGGUCAGCCGCGUCCCUGGGGUGCCGGUGGAGCCGCUCCUCCGUGAGAUCCGGCCGCGGAGAGAGCCAUGGUGACCCAGCCCUUCUCCUCCCGCGUCCCUUUCUUUAUCACCAAGCUCGCGUUGGUGCUCUUGUUGACUUCUUCCUCCUCCUCGGCGCUCAACAGGUUAGGCGAGGCUGCUGGUGGGGCGAAGAAGCAGGGGAGGCAGGCGACAAGGACGAGAAGCAGCGGGUUGUCGUGGUGCGAUGGUGCUGCUGGGAAGAAAGUGGAGGUCAGCCGCGUCCCUGUGGUGCCGGCGGAACUGCUCCUCUCAAGCAGGUGCACACACUCUUGUCAUCUUCCUAAUUUCCCUCCUCCUUCCAGUGUAUUUGUUUGUGCAGAUUUUGUUUCUGUACGCCUACAAGGUGUUCGAUGAAAGUCUUAGUAGGCUGGAGGGAAGGAGUGCUCUAUGUAACCAUGUGAUUUUAUUCUUCCAAAAACCGCCUAACGGUGUUUGAUGAAUGUCCUAGAAGUCUAGAGGAGAGGAGUGAUCUAUGUAUGUGAUUUCAUUCUUAAAAAAAUCAGUUCCAGUCAGUUAUAACAAGAUGAUUUUGUGAUUAACAAGAAUCCAUGAGGUAAAUAAAAGUGUAAAGAACAAAAAAAC